RNAcentral lists this ribosomal RNA (253 nucleotides) under uncultured bacterium. Its description in RNAcentral is "partial 16S ribosomal RNA". It matches the Rfam family "Bacterial small subunit ribosomal RNA", at positions 524 to 776 of the family's 1533-position model. The record is from RNAcentral.
UACGAAGGGGGCUAGCGUUGUUCGGAAUUACUGGGCGUAAAGGGCGCGUAGGCGGUGUGUCAGGUCAGGCGUGAAAGCCCCGGGCUCAACCUGGGAACCGCGCUUGAGACUGGCACGCUCGAGUUCGGGAGAGGAUGGUGGAAUUCCCAGUGUAGAGGUGAGAUUCGUAGAUAUUGGGAAGAACACCGAUGGCGAAGGCAGCCAUCUGGACCGACACUGACGCUGAGGCGCGAAAGCGUGGGGAGCAAACAGG